Molecule: ribosomal RNA, 436 nt
Filed under: uncultured Anaerovorax sp.
Lineage: Bacteria; Bacillati; Bacillota; Clostridia; Peptostreptococcales; Anaerovoracaceae
Description: partial 16S ribosomal RNA
Rfam family: Bacterial small subunit ribosomal RNA
Source: RNAcentral
ACGGAAGGCAGCAGUGGGGAAUAUUGCACAAUGGGCGCAAGCCUGAUGCAGCAACGCCGCGUGAGUGAUGAAGGUCUUCGGAUUGUAAAACUCUGUCCUUAGGGACGAAACAAAUGACGGUACCUGAGGAGGAAGCCCCGGCUAACUACGUGCCAGCAGCCGCGGUAAUACGUAGGGGGCGAGCGUUAUCCGGAAUUAUUGGGCGUAAAGAGUACGUAGGUGGCUGCGUAAGCGAGAAGUGAAAGCCCGGGGCUCAACUCCGGCGAGCCUUUCGAACUGCGUGGCUUGAGUGCAGGAGGGGAAAGUGGAAUUCCUAGUGUAGCGGUGAAAUGCGUAGAUAUUAGGAGGAACACCAGUGGCGAAGGCGACUUUCUGGACUGUAACUGACACUGAGGUACGAAAGCGUGGGGAGCAAACAGGAUUAGAUACCCUGGUA